RNAcentral lists this ribosomal RNA (254 nucleotides) under uncultured bacterium. RNAcentral describes it as "partial 16S ribosomal RNA". It matches the Rfam family "Bacterial small subunit ribosomal RNA", at positions 524 to 776 of the family's 1533-position model. The record is from RNAcentral.
UACGUAGGGGCCUAGCGUUGUCCGGAUUUAUUGGGCGUAAAGAGCUCGUAGGCGGUUCGGCAAGUCGGAUGUGAAAUCUCCACGCUUAACGUGGAGGGGCCAUUCGAAACUGCCGUGACUCGAGUCCGGUAGGGGAGUGUGGAAUUCCCGGUGUAGCGGUGAAAUGCGUAGAUAUCUGGAGGAACACCGGUGGCGAAGGCGGCAUCCUGGACCGGCAUUGACGCUGAGGCGCGAAAGCCAGGGGAGCAAACGGG